AUACGGAGGAUCCGAGCGUUAUCCGGAUUUAUUGGGUUUAAAGGGAGCGUAGAUGGAUGUUUAAGUCAGUUGUGAAAGUUUGCGGCUCAACCGUAAAAUUGCAGUUGAUACUGGAUAUCUUGAGUGCAGUUGAGGCAGGCGGAAUUCGUGGUGUAGCGGUGAAAUGCUUAGAUAUCACGAAGAACUCCGAUUGCGAAGGCAGCCUGCUAAGCUGCAACUGACAUUGAGGCUCGAAAGUGUGGGUAUCAAACAGGAUUAGAUACCCUGGUAGUCCACACGGUAAACGAUGAAUACUCGCUGUUUGCGAUAUACGGCAAGCGGCCAAGCGAAAGCGUUAAGUAUUCCACCUGGGGAGUACGCCGGCAACGGUGAAACUCAAAGGAAUUGACGGGG
This 393-nucleotide ribosomal RNA is filed under the name uncultured bacterium. RNAcentral describes it as "partial 16S ribosomal RNA". It matches the Rfam family "Bacterial small subunit ribosomal RNA", at positions 523 to 918 of the family's 1533-position model. The record is from RNAcentral.